AAGAAAGUGACAGAGUGGUUAAUGUGUUUGGCUUGAAACCAUUUUACGGGGGUUCGAUUCCUCCCUUUCUCG
This 72-nucleotide transfer RNA is filed under the name Grammatorcynus bilineatus (double-lined mackerel). RNAcentral describes it as "tRNA-Ser". It matches the Rfam family "tRNA". Rfam says of the family: Transfer RNA (tRNA) molecules are approximately 80 nucleotides in length. Their secondary structure includes four short double-helical elements and three loops (D, anti-codon, and T loops). Lineage: Eukaryota; Metazoa; Chordata; Actinopteri; Scombriformes; Scombridae. The record is from RNAcentral.